RNAcentral lists this ribosomal RNA (251 nucleotides) under uncultured bacterium. RNAcentral describes it as "partial 16S ribosomal RNA". It matches the Rfam family "Bacterial small subunit ribosomal RNA", at positions 30 to 289 of the family's 1533-position model. The record is from RNAcentral.
UUGAACGCUGGCGGCAUGCCUUACACAUGCAAGUCGAACGGUAGAGGGGCAACCCUUGAGAGUGGCGAACGGGUGAGUAAUAUAUCGGAACGUGCCCAGUCGUGGGGGAUAACGCAGCGAAAGCUGCGCUAAUACCGCAUACGAUCUAUGGAUGAAAGUGGGGAUCGCAAGACCUCGCGCGAUUGGAGCGGCCGAUAUCAGAUUAGGUAGUUGGUGGGGUAAAAGCCCACCAAGCCGACGAUCUGUAGCUG